Molecule: ribosomal RNA, 434 nt
Filed under: uncultured Oscillospiraceae bacterium
Lineage: Bacteria; Bacillati; Bacillota; Clostridia; Eubacteriales; Oscillospiraceae
Description: bacterial SSU rRNA
Rfam family: Bacterial small subunit ribosomal RNA
Source: RNAcentral
ACGGAAGGCAGCAGUGGGGGAUAUUGCACAAUGGAGGAAACUCUGAUGCAGCAACGCCGCGUGAAGGAAGAAGGCCUUCGGGUUGUAAACUUCUGUCCUUGGUGACGAUAAUGACGGUAGCCAAGGAGGAAGCCACGGCUAACUACGUGCCAGCAGCCGCGGUAAUACGUAGGUGGCAAGCGUUGUCCGGAAUUACUGGGUGUAAAGGGUGCGUAGGCGGCUCAUAAAGUUAGAUGUGAAAUGCCGGGGCUUAACUCCGGAGCUGCAUUUGAAACUUAUGGGCUUGAGUGAAGUAGAGGUAAGCGGAAUUCCUAGUGUAGCGGUGAAAUGCGUAGAUAUUAGGAGGAACACCAGUGGCGAAGGCGGCUUACUGGGCUUUAACUGACGCUGAGGCACGAAAGCAUGGGUAGCAAACAGGAUUAGAUACCCUGGUA